Molecule: long non-coding RNA, 1501 nt
Filed under: Oryctolagus cuniculus (rabbit)
Lineage: Eukaryota; Metazoa; Chordata; Mammalia; Lagomorpha; Leporidae
Description: lncRNA (ENSOCUG00000036642.1)
Source: RNAcentral
CAUCUUGUUUUUUUCUUUUUAAGGAAGAAAGGAAGGAGGGACGGAAGGAGGGAAGGAUGGAAGGAAGGAAGGAAGGAAGGAAGGAAGGAAAGGAGGGAGGGAGGGAGGGAGGCAGGGAGGGAGGGAGGGAGGGAGGGAGGGAGGGAGGGAGAAACUCCAGAUGGGCCAGGGGAUACUAAGUAGCACAUUCCCAGUUUCUUGUUGCUGUGCCCAGAUGAACUCUAAACUGAAGUUAGCCGGAACAAUCCUUUGAUCUUCUGGUCACACAAGAGCAACAAACCAGUCCCCGACAAGGAAGAGUUCUCCGUCUUCAGACCUUGUGAGGUGCACUGUACACACCACAAACCGUAAGAUGAUUGGUUCCCGACGGUAAAGGCACAGGGCAAAGCUCCGGGGAGAACAGAGGAUGGGGGUGUUUAUUUUUCUCUGGAGCUCUGGGCGGGCUUCCUGGGGGAGGUGACAAUGUGAGAGGGUGACGAGGGUGGAGACAGAGACGGGAAUGUUCUGCAUUUCUCUACAGAAAGCAGGGUGGUGGGAGGAUUCUGAGCGGAGGGUGGUCCCGUGUUCCCCGCAGCAGCGGGAGAUUAGACGGCCCCAGAGGGAGAGAUGAAAGGUCAGGAGACCAGGAAGAGGCUCCUGGCUUUGCCCUCAGCUGUGCCCCAGCCGUGGGUACCUCCAGGUGGGUGAAGUGCCAUAAACAUCCCGCCAUCAGUGACCUGGGGCCUGGCCCUGUGACUCACUCUGGCCAAUGACCUCCGUGGAGGAGCCGCUGCUGUGCCAGUUCCCAGCUGAGGCCUGAAGAACCAAAGCAGGUGCCUGCCAGUCUCCUUCCACAUCUGCCCUCUACGGUGACAAUGUGUCUGGGGCAGCGGCUGGCCCAGGGAGAAUGAGGGGGCACUUGGGGGAGUCUCGAGCCCCAUUGGGAACCCAGAAGCAGGCCCAGUAGAGCCCCCUGAGCCACAGCUACCAACACACCCUCCCUGCCAGAAAAGCAAAUGUGUGUGGCAUAAGCCGCUGCAGUGUGUGUGUGUGUUGGCAGGGGGGAGUCUAUUACGUGGCACCUGCAGCAGUGGCUAGCCAGCAUGUCCCCACCCCUCCAGCUUUGCUCCUCGUACCCCCAGCCAUGGUGCUGUGGAGUAGGGACUCAGUAAUCUUUGUUGAAUAGAUAAACGGAUAAGUGACCUCUCUUUUACUUGGAAAACUGUCCUCGGCCUUCAGAGCUUUGCAAGACAGUAGUUCCUCAGCCCCCUGGACAGCUCCAGCGAUGAAGGAAGAGCAAAAGCUCACCCUUAUUCACCCACUCGGCCAGUAGAGAGCGUGGCCCGCGCCAGACUCAUCCAGAACCCCUCUUCUGAAGUUGGACAGUCUUGGUGUUUAAGUUCUGAGUACAAAGUUUGCCAUUGUAUCCGCUGUACUGCAGGGCCUUGUUCCUGCCUGGAUUAAUUCCAUCUUAGUUACCAGGCACCUCCUGGGACCCAAACAUGUUCUAGCCCCCGGGGUU